UACGUAGGGUGCGAGCGUUGUCCGGAAUUAUUGGGCGUAAAGGGCUCGUAGGCGGUUUGUCGCGUCGGGAGUGAAAACCAGGUGCUUAACACCUGGCUUGCUUUCGAUACGGGCAGACUAGAGGUAUUCAGGGGAGAACGGAAUUCCUGGUGUAGCGGUGAAAUGACGCAGAUAUCAGGAGGAACACCGGUGGCGAAGGCGGUUCUCUGGGCAUGUCCUGACGCUGAGGCACGAAGGCCAGGGGAGCAAACGGG
RNAcentral lists this ribosomal RNA (254 nucleotides) under uncultured bacterium. RNAcentral describes it as "partial 16S ribosomal RNA". It matches the Rfam family "Bacterial small subunit ribosomal RNA", at positions 524 to 776 of the family's 1533-position model. The record is from RNAcentral.